GACGAACGCUGGCGGCGUGCUUAACACAUGCAAGUCGAACGAAGAGCGAUGGAAGCUUGCUUCUAUCAAUCUUAGUGGCGAACGGGUGAGUAACGCGUAAUCAACCUGCCCUUCAGAGGGGGACAACAGUUGGAAACGACUGCUAAUACCGCAUACGAUCUAAUCUCGGCAUCGAGGAUAGAUGAAAGGUGGCCUCUACAUGUAAGCUAUCACUGAAGGAGGGGAUUGCGUCUGAUUAGCUAGUUGGAGGGGUAACGGCCCACCAAGGCGAUGAUCAGUAGCCGGUCUGAGAGGAUGAACGGCCACAUUGGGACUGAGACACGGCCCAGACUCCUACGGGAGGCAGCAGUGGGGAAUCUUCCGCAAUGGACGAAAGUCUGACGGAGCAACGCCGCGUGAGUGAUGACGGCCUUCGGGUUGUAAAGCUCUGUUAAUCGGGACGAAAGGCCUUCUUGCGAAUAGUGAGAAGGA
RNAcentral lists this ribosomal RNA (471 nucleotides) under Veillonella parvula. RNAcentral's name for it is "bacterial SSU rRNA". It matches the Rfam family "Bacterial small subunit ribosomal RNA", at positions 28 to 472 of the family's 1533-position model. The record is from RNAcentral. Lineage: Bacteria; Bacillati; Bacillota; Negativicutes; Veillonellales; Veillonellaceae.